RNA transcript from Triticum dicoccoides, 944 nucleotides. RefSeq lists it as uncharacterized. The transcript is spliced from 4 exons. The record is from RefSeq and is a predicted model, not a curated record. NCBI's taxonomy places the organism in Eukaryota, Viridiplantae, Streptophyta, Magnoliopsida, Poales, Poaceae.
CUGCCGCCUCAGAUUCUUCUCUGGAUAGUUCCCCACCACUCCCUCACAAUCUCCUCCGUUCCCCAUUCUCUCCACCAUAGCCAGCGCUCCCUGGUCAGGCCGCCCCCUCCCCUUCGUCACCAUCGCCGGCGCUCCCUGGUCAGGCUGCCCUCCCCUUCGUCACCAGCGCGGCCGCUCUCUCACACCCCGUAGGUCAAAGGUUGAAUUUUUAUCCGCCGCUGAUGGUGCUGCUGGGCGAGGAGGCGCUGGAUGCGCGUGCGCCGGCGCUGGAGGCGCUGGAUGCGCGUGCACCGGCGCUGGAUCUGCUCCGUCUGGCUCCGGCGACCUUACCCCGUGGCUCCGGGACAGGAAGGCUACCCCGACGACAUACAGCAACUGGACUCUAUGCACAGCGAGGAGGAUGAAGACACCCAGCCAUGGAUUUUUAGCAGCACUCACUCAAGGAAAAAGAGACCUCAACACGCCAAUGGAUGCAGCCAGCCUCCAACUCACCACGCACCUGCACCAACUUGAUGUAGGGAGAGGAGGAGUGAGGCUUCUCUCACGGGAUGACGCCCAGCCAUGGGGCAGCAACAAUCCAAGAUUGCUGUCAAAAUAAGCCUAAAUUCAGAGUCUUCGGAAGUCAAUUACUUUGAGCCUUUGAGUUAGGAGGUAUACCAGUCUCUUUGUAGUUUGCUCUUAAUAAACUCUUCCCUUGGCCAUGAUGAGAUGUUUAAGUCUUUCCACUUAUCAGUUUUUAGUUCCACUUGAAGCGAUGCAUAUUCGAAUACAUUUUCUAGUCCUUUGAGCUGUUGAAUGAAUAAAUGAAAAAGUAUUAGCAUCACAACCGAACAAUAACAGAAAUCGUGUUAUCAAAAGAUGGUGUAGUGGGACUAAUGACUAACCAUAGCGGUGAGGUCUUUGCGGCUCAUUCCUGGGCCUAGCGAGUCGAGCACCUGGAUGCA